RNAcentral lists this long non-coding RNA (15379 nucleotides) under Nicotiana tabacum (common tobacco). RNAcentral's name for it is "long non-coding RNA (NTAB_LNC016030)". Lineage: Eukaryota; Viridiplantae; Streptophyta; Magnoliopsida; Solanales; Solanaceae. The record is from RNAcentral.
GCUCUUCAAUGUUCAAAUACCAAUUUUACUUCCACAAGCCUUGCUCAACAAUAGAAAUCAUUGCAUAAGACAUGAACAAUACAAACGGAGUCACAUUAAUCAUAGUAUAAGACUCACGGGCAUGCUUGACACCAACGCAUAGAUACUCGUCACCAUACCUAUACGUCGUACUCAAUAACCAAUACAUAGCAAAUAGGCGAAACUCCUAAUCCCUCAAGCUAAGGUUAGACCAAAUACUUACCUCGAUGCCACGAACAUAAUUCAAGCCUCAACUACCGCUUUACCUCUUGAUUCCACCACCAAUUCACAUGUAUCUAGCCACAAGUUACUUAACUAUAUCAAUAAAUGCUAAAUAAAUCAAUUCUAAUGCAUGAAAAUAGGUUUUCUAAAUUUUUCCCAAAAAGUUAAAAAUCGACCCUGGGCCCACAUGGUCAAAACUCGAGGUUCGAACCAAAACCCGAUUACACAUUCACCCAAAAACCCAAAUAUAUAAUUUGUUUUGAAAUCAGACCUCAAAUCAAGGUCCAAAUUCCCAAAAUUUGAAAAACCUAGGUUCUACCUAAAACACCCAAUUUCCCCCAUGAAAACCCUUGAUUUCAGUUGAAAUCAUGUGAAAAAAUGUUAAAGAUUAAUGAAAGCGAGUUAGAAGUGACUUACAAUCGUUUUGGAAGAGUACUUGUCUUUGAAAAAUCGCCCAAGGGUGUUUAGAUUUUGAAAAGUUUUGAAAAAUGAAAGAUUUACGGAUAAGUUAUGAAUUUGCAGGUCGCAGAUGUCGCAAUUGCGACUUGCGAAUCCUUCAGAACCUACUAACUUCGCAAAUGCGAUGAUUUUGUCACAUUUGCGACACUGAAGGAAUCCGGUCCACUUCGCAUUUGCGAUAUCACAUUUGCAACCUAAGGCAGCCCAGGUCAUCUUUGCAUUUGCGAUAAAGCUUCGCAUUUGCAAGCUCGCAUUUGCUAGCCAGGCUUCGCAUUUGUGAAGUCUGCAGACCUGCAACAUACCAGCAAUUUCCUAAGUCCAAAUUUCACUUUGUGGCCUAUCCAAAACUCACUCGAACCCUCGGGGCUCCAAACAAAACAAUCUCAAGAUCUAUGAAUUUAGUAUCAAAAUCAAAAAAAAAAAUCUCAAGAACUUUCAAAGUUUCAAAUUUUACAACUAAGGUUCCGAAUCAUAUCAACUUCUAAUGGUUCUCUUUUGGUCUCCACUAGUUUGCUCGAGAUAUUCCUUUUUUUUUCCAGAAAUCUCUUGAUAUCAUGAUACCAUGGCUGAACAUUUGGUUCCACCUCAAUCGUGUUGCAAUAAACAUGCCUUUCUCGGAUUUGGAUUUACAAUGGAUCAAUGUGGACAUUGCCUGGAUAUGGCAACAAUGAGGCCAAAGUAGCGAGUGCAUCGGCCAACUCAUUGUGAAACCAAGGAAUGUACCUGAACUCGACUGACUUGAACCGAUUGCUAAUAUCUUCCACACAUUUCCAGUAUGGAAUAAGCUUGACAUCCCGAGUUUCCCAUUCACCCUGAGCUUGUCGGAUAAUCAAGUCUGAAUCUCCCAUGAUUAACAAUUCUUCCACCUCUUGGUCGAUUGCCAUGUACAUGCCCAUAAUGCAAGCUUCAUACUCGGUAGUGUUGUUUAUGCAGAAAAACCGAAGUCGGGCCGUGGCUGGAUAGUGCUGAUCAGUGGGUGAGAUCAUGAUUGCCCCAAUCCCGACACCUUUUGCGUUUAUAGCUCCAUCGAAUAACAUUUUCCAAGCAUUAGCAUCGUCUAAAGUUACCUCAACUGAAUUUACUUCCUUGUCCGGAAAGUAAGUACUCAAAGGCUGAUACUCAUCAUCAACAGGAUUUUCUGCUAAGUGACCUGCUAAAGCUUGAGCUUUCAUUGCCAUGCGGGUGACAUAGACUAUGUCAAACUCGGUGAGAAGGAUUUGUCAUUUUGCUAACCUCCCUGUGGGCAUCGGCUUUUGGAAUAUGUAUUUCAAAGGAUCCAACCUGGUGAUGAGAUAGGUGGUGUAGGCCAACAGGUAAUGCCUAAGCUUCUGAGCGACCCAAGUUAGGGUGUAGCAAGUUCUUUCCAACAAAGUGUAUUUGGCCUCAUAACUGGUGAACUUUUUGCUCAGGUAGUACAUGGCUUGUUCCUUCUUCCCGGUCACAUCAUGUUGCCCGAGAACAUAUCCAAAGGAAUUCUCCAAGACUAUCAAGUACAAAAACAAAGGCCUCCCAGGUUCUGGUGGGACCAAGACAGGCGGAUUCGACAGAUAUUCUUUAAUUUUGUCGAAGGCUUCUUGACACUCAUCUGUCCAUUUAAUCGUUGCAUCUUUCUUCAACAGCUUAAAUAUGGGCUCACAUGUGGAAGUCAACUGAACAAUGAACCGGCUGAUGUAAUUCAACCUUCCCAAUAGACUCAUAACCUCUUUCUUGGUUCUCGGAGGAGGCAAAUCCCGAAUAGACUUUAUCUUUGUUGGAUCUAGCUUGAUGCCCCUCAGACUGACUAUAAAUCCCAAGAGUUUCCCAGACGGAACUCCAAAUGUCCAUUUAGCUGGAUUUAACUUCAAAUCAUACUUACGCAGAUGCUCAAAGAACUUUCUCAGAUCCCAAACAUGGUCAUCUUGCGUUCUUGAUUUAAUGAUUACAUCGUCCACAUACACCUCAAUUUCUUGGUGCAUCAUGUCAUGAAAGAUGGCAGCCAUAGCUCUCAUGAAAAUUGCCCCGGCGUUCUUCAAACUAAAAGGCAUGACUCUGUAACAAUAGGUGCCCCAUGGUGUGGUGAAGGCUGUCUUUCCCGCAUCUUAUUCAUCCAUCAAGACAUGAUGAUAUCCAUCAUAGCAAUCCACGAAAGACUCUAUCUCAUGUUUGUCACAAUUGUUGACAAAGAUGUGUAUAUUUGGCAAAGGGAAGUUGUCUUUGGGACUCGCUUUGUUCAGAUCCCGAUGGUCAACACACACUCGAGUUUUCCCAUCUUUCUUUGGCCCUGGAACCAUAUUAGCCAACCAUGUGGUGUAUCGGACCACCCGGAUCACCCCCACCUUUAACUGUUUGGUGACCUCCUCUUUGAUCUUGUCACUGAUGUCAGUUUUGAACUUCCUCUAUUUUUGCUGGACAGGGGGAUGAUCGGGGUAAGUUGGCAAUUUGUGCACCACUAAAUCGAUAUUUAGUCCUAUCAUAUCAUCAUAGGACCAAGCAAACACAUCUUUGAAUUCGAACAAAAGUUGGAUCAAUGCAUCCUUAGUUCCUUCAUCCGUGUGAAUGUGUAUCAUGGUUUCUUGGACCUCUUCUGAACUACCCAAAUUAAUCAGCUCGGUUUCAUUUAAGUUUGGCUUAGGUUUAUUCUCGAAUUGUUCCAGUUCUCGGUUUAUUUCCGUAAAAGCCUCAUCUUCAUCAUAUUUCGAUUCUUGAUUCAUUAUUUUACAAUUAGAUAGUGUAUUAGGAUCUGGGCAUGAAGUCCGCAAGCAUGUCAUGUUAUUUAAGUCCGUAUUAUUAGAAAUGAAAGAAGAAAUAAGAAAAAUAACAAAAUCAGAAUGAAUAAAGAAAGAGAUUCAUAGACAAUGAAAUAUUGAUUUCAUUUCAUUGAAUUUGAAGAUAGUAGGGUUUACAUUGGAAUUUUAAAGACAAUAAACUAAAAGAAACAUUCGACUUACACCGUAGAAUAACUCGGAAUGCAGAAAAGGUGGCAAGACUGGACUACCGGGAUUCCCACCUGACUGGGAACGGAGUAGCCUUCCAAUUCUGAAGCUUGGCAUCGGGCCCCAUAUAUUGUACCUCAGCGGUGCUCGAGCCUUCUCCCGGCAGGACCAUGUGAGCUUCAUAUAACAUUUGCCUCAUGGCUCCACAUAUGUCCUCAAUUUCCUCAGUCGUGAAGGCUUCAUAUUCUUCUUCUUCUAUAUACUUUGGCUUGACGAAUGUUUUGGAGAGAUGCUGGACCGGCUGAGGUAGAAUCCACCCGUCAUUCUUACGUUCUUUAUCCCAUUUCACAUUGGCUUCUGUAGCUUGAAAACCGACACCAAAGAAGUUUUUACUGGCAGUCAAGGUGAUGGGCUCUGUAAUACCUUGCAAAUAUGCCCCGAGCCCCUUCCCGGGCUUAUACCCGUGCUUGAUCAUUUCAGUAGCGACCAUGAUUGAUGCGUUUAACAAAAUGAGUUGAGGACACGGGCUCCCUUCCUCACAUUGAUCUGCGACUACAACCUCAAAAGCUUGAUAGACUAUGUGCUCGCUACCUUCCCUAGCCUCAAGUCAUGGGAUCAACGGGUCCCUGUAAAUUGAUUGCUCGUCCUCUCUAUGGACCAUGAUUUCUUGAUCUUCGUGUUCAAAUUUUACCUUUUGGUGGAGAUUAGAAGGUACGGCCCCUACAACAUGGAUCCAAGGCCUUCCUAAGAGAAAAUUAUAGGAGGUAUCCAUGUCCAAGACCUGAAAUGUCACUUCGAAAUCCACAGGACCGAUAGUCAAGAUCAAAUCAAUCUCCCCUAUUGUGUCUCUCUUGAUGCCAUCUAAAUCACACACAAACAUUGUUAGGUCUUAUUCUCUCAGUCCUAAUUUCCAUUCUUUACAAAGUUGAGAGAGGGCAUAUGUCGACCCCAGAUUCGCCAUCCACCAUGACUCUUUUCACAUAGUACCCUUCACACUUAACUAUCAGAUGAAGAGCUUUGUUGUGGGCAGCCCCUUCUGGGGCCAAGUCAUUUCUGCUAAAUGAAAUCCGGUUGACUUCGAAGAAUCGUUUCGCCAUCCUUUCCAAUUGCUCAAUUGUGAUUUCAAUCGAAACAUAUGCUUCAUUUAGGGUCUUUAUCAACACUUUCUGAUGCUCAUUCGAGCUUAUUAGUAGAGACAAGAGCGAGACCUGAGAGGGAGACUUCUGAAGUUGGUCAAUUACCUCGUAGUCUACAGUUUUCAUUUUUCAAAAGAAUUCCUCUGCUUCUUCGGCACUGACUGGCUUUUUAAGCGGAAAACGCUUCUGUUUGGCGUUGUUCACUUCUUCCAGAUUGAGGUACCUCCCAGAUGGGUUAGUUUCAUUUACUUCCCCCAUGAUUUCUUUCCCCUCGUACGUCACAAUUGCUUUGUUGUAGUUCCAGGGGACUGCAGUGGGGUCUUUCAUGGGCUUUUGUGGAGCGCGGCUAAUGAUCACGGGCUCAUUAAGUCUGGGUGGAAUUAUUGGUCCCCGCACCACAUAAGUCCCUUUGGGUACAUACAUCUUGGGUCCCUUAUUCAGAUCGAACAUUUUAGGAGGACUCAAUGCCAAUUGUUCUUUCCUGUGAGCCCGGGGAACAUAAAGAAUGGCGUCUUUAGGGGGUACUGCCCCUGUUUUGGUUUCCACUGUCUUUUCUACACUUCGAGGAGUGGAGAAACUCUUCUUAUCUCCUUUUUCUUGCUUUUCAACCACCCUUGGCUUCUUUUCAACAUCAGUGAUAGCAAUGAUGGCUUUCAGAGCUGGGUCAAACUCUUUAUCUUCACAAAUCAUCCCAAUAAUUGGCCCGUUGUUGUGAGCCGGCAAUGGGUUAUUUGUCACAUUGGGGAUCUCAUCAUCUUUCAGCACUACCCUCUUUUGCUCUAUUAGGUUUUCGAUUGCCCUUUUGAGAGUCCAACAAUCUUCAGUGUCAUGCCCUUCCACUCCUGAAUAGUGAGCACAUCGAGCACCGUGUCGGUAGGAGGGCAACUCUGGGUUUUUCCUGGUUUGGGGUACGGGUUACAACAAACCCAUUUGGACCAAUUUAGGCAAAAGGCAAGAGUAUGAUUCACCAAUAGGCGUGAAGUUGUUUCUUCUAGGUGGCUCCCGGGCACAGGCAUUGUAUGGAAAAUUAUUUUGUGGGGGACGGGGAUUAUAUGGAGCUUGGUGAGGAGGGUCAUUUCUAGGAAGUGGAGCUCGAUUUUGGAUAAAUUGUUGUUGUGGCCGAGCAUAUGGCUAGGCAUUCGUCACCGCAUAAGGCUGAGGAGGCAUGACAUAAAUGUCAUGACCCAAACCGAUAGGCCGCGACGGACACCCGGUACCUUACUCAACCGAGUACCAACGUAACGUAUCUUUCUUAUUACAUUAUCAUAUACACAUGACAUACGGGCCUAAUAGGCCAACAUGAUUAUUUAUAAACUCAAGACAUCGGCCAACAAGGCUGUACAAUCUUUCACGUACACGACAUAUGUCUACAAGCCUCUAAGAGUACAUAAAUGUCAUAAAGGUCGGGACAGAGUCCCUCCAUACCAAAAAAUACAUGUCUAAAUCAUACCAGCCAAACAAGCAACUCCGAAGCAAAUGGGAGCGCACCAACAUCUUUCGCUGAGCUAAUAGCCUACUUGGAGGGCUCUCGACCUGUCUAUUGGGACCUGCGGGCAUGAAACGCAACGUCCCCAGGCAAAAGGGAUGUCAGUACAAAAAAUGUACAAAGUAUGUAAGGCAUAUAAAUAAGUACAUAACAGACAUGGAAGAAAUAUAGAGUACCUAACUCAACCUGUAAGUCUGAAUAAUUCUGUUAAUCAUGAAAUACUUUUAGCAUCAUGCAUAUGCGUAUGAAUGUCAUGUCAUGCAUAGGUACAUGUCUCAUAAUAUCAUCAGCCUCUGAGGGCAUUCCAUUAUAUCAUACGGCCACUUUGGGAAAAAUCAUCAAUGUAUAUCAGCUGAUCAGGUGGUGGUGCGUAUAUAACGCCAUAACCUCUUCCCAUAUCACAUAUACAUAUACAUACAUAUAUACGCGUAUAUAACGUCGUUUGAAUCAUAUUUCAGCCGUUGUGGUCAACAUCAUCAUCAUAUACCAGAUGAUCAGGUGGUGGUGCGUAUAUAACACUGUAACCUUUUCCCAUAUCCCAUAUACGUAUAUUUACAUAUAUACGCGUAUAUAAUGCCAUCUGGUCAUGGAUCAGUGCACAUGUAUAAAUGAGUUAAAUGCAUGAAAAAUACAUAAUAAUCUUGAUAUUCCUUUUGGAUAAACUUUUUCAAUUGCGUAUUAUCCUGAGACCCAUGAACAGAAGAUAAUAAUAAUUCUCACGGGGAAUCAAGAAUAUAGACACCCCUACUAUUUCUAUGAAUAGAUUAAUUUAUAGAAACUGUGUAUUUGCUUGUUUCUUCAAUAUGAUUUGGGCCAUGCCAAAAGAAAGAAGGGAGGGCCUUAACAUACCUGGAGUAGGAACGACUCCGUAUAAUUAUCCCCUUAGAAACCUUCGUGGAUUGAACUUAGAACCCAAAAGUCGGAUUUAGGCCUUUGCAUUUUUGAAUUUGAGGAACGAAAUUAGCUUGGUUUCACUGCCAAAAAUAAUGAAAUGGAGCCAAGGAAUUGGACGAGAAUAGUUCUUGGUUUCCAAUGCCAAAGACAUUAAACUUGAAAUGAAAGCCAAGAUUUAAAUGAAAGUACUUGGAUUUUAAAAUACUUGGAUAUGGCUAACUAGUUGAAUGCUUGGACGAAAUGUUCUGUUUAAAUGUUCUUGGUUUCAAAACCAAGAACAAAUUUGUUGGCUAGUAGUUUGGACAAAAAUGAUUUGGUUUUCCAAGUUCUUGGUUUCAAACCAAGGAAAAUGACUUGAAGUUUUAAAUUGUCUAAUUAGAUAAGACUUUACAAAUCGUAGCAAGAUUUGAUUUUAAGUCUUGUUUUAAUUUAUUCCCAUGUAGCCAACUAGAAUAAUGACUACUUAGUCAUUGUAGUCAUUGUCUAGGCUUUGUGGCUCAUUUCCACGUGGGGGGUUUAAUUAUUAAUAAUUUAUCCACUUAUUAGUUAACCGGGUAAUGUUUUGUUACCCGGUAAUUAAUUAAUUACCCGCAUAAUUUAAAAUUUAUCACAAAUUACUUAAAAUUUUAUUUAUUUUUGAAAUACUUCAUAUAUACUUUAUAUAUUAUACUACCAUGGUCAUAUGGUACCUUACAUGGUACUAGUUCAUAAUUGUAGGGUAUUAUCGCUCGACCAGUAUUUUAUUCUAAAUUGACCACUUUCAACGAAACUCAUUUUCUUUAAUCCAUGUACCCUAUUAUUCUUCAUAACACUUAUUUAUUGCUUUCUAUAAAUAACGUAAGUACGUUAACGUCAAGAUAAUCUCAUCCCCCAGUCUUACAUCGGUUAACUGAAAAUAAAAUUUUAACGUACAGUACUUCAGGGUGAAACAUCGUCGUAACUUAAUACUGCAAAAUGCGAUAUCACCAUAAUGUAAUACUGCGAGACGUGAAAUCUCACUUCCAAGCUCUUAUUAAUUUAUUUAUGGCGUAUUUUCAUGUACAAAAAUAUGGGGUGUAACAAUAAGCCACAUCCUGGUAAGGAUAAUAAUGUUGCGGGGUGUUUGGCGGGAAGUAACCUUGGGGUUGACGGGGUUCCUCAGACUUGAAGCCACCAUAACCACUUCUUAUUUCUUCUUUAUGUUUGCUACACCUCCUGACCCGCUCUAGAUUGCUUGGGACGUAGCUCUUAUGGCAGAUUGGCUCAAUAUGCAGCCUGUCUUCAAACCAUUUUCGACCAUCUCCCCAAUUUUGAUAGCCUCAGCAAACGGCUUUCCCAUUGCAGACAUCAUAUUCUGGAAGUAGUCAGCCCUUUGGGAUUGUAGAAAAACACUGACCAUCUCAGUCUCAUCCAUCGGGGGCUUUACCCUGGCCGCUUGUUCGCGCCACUUAACAGCAUAUUCUCGAAAACUUUUCGAAGACUUCUUAUUGAGAUUAGAUAGAGAAUUACUGUCUGGAGCUAUGUCUAUAUUGUACUGGAAUUGCCUGACAAAAUCUCGAGCCAAAUCAUCCCAUAUGUGCCAGCGAGACAUGUCUUGAUCCAUGUACCACUCGGAUGCAAUGCCAACUAGACUCUCUCCAUAAUAAGCCAUUAGGAGCUCUUCUUUUCCUCCUGCCCUUCUUAGUUGAUUGCAAUACCUCUUGAGGUGGGAUAUGGGGUCCCCGUGCCCGUCAACUUUUCAAACUUGGGGGUCUUGGAACCGAUGGGCAAAUGAACAUGCGGGAACAUACAUAAAUCGGCGUAGGAUACGCUCUUCUGGCCACUUAAACCUUCUAUAUUCUUAAGACUUUGCUCCAUGUUUCUCAUUUUCUGAGUGAUUUCCUCUUGCUCGAGAUUCUUUGUAGCUCUCUCUUGCCCCGCAGUAAACUUAUACUGGGGUUGUUGAGGGUAAGAAUUGGUGGUGAAAUGGGCAGUGUCUGGUGGAAAAGAUGGCACUUGGAAAGUAAAGGAAGAUGGAUCAAAACUUGGCCUGGGCAAGGUUGGUUGUGUUGUAGCCGUAGUUGGUGGUGCAGUGAAUAUGUUAGAAGCCACUCCCGAAAUCAAUGCCUGGGGGAGAACCACAGAAGGCGUUCCGGCAAAGUGACUGACAUGGUGGGGUAUCCAAGUGGGGUGUUCGGGUAACUUAUUGGGAUGUUGGAAGUUCCACUUGCUCUAGGAAGUAGCUCGAGGAAACCAGGUAUUACACUCGACGGCUCUCUGUCGUUUGACCAAGCGUCCCACAUUUCCAACAUGCGGAGGCGCAGUGCCCUAUUCUCUUCAGCAGUCGCUGACUCUUAGGUUUGGAUAACCGAUAACUGGCUAUCAUCUGGGAUGGGAAUUGUUGGUAUAUGACUAUUUGACGACAUUUCGACACUUUCCUUGGAUGUUGUAAAGGAAUGGUGCAAAGCCAGGCUACCACAAACCAACCACCUUAAAAACAGAACCUAUACUCAACAAUAGACACAACAAACCGGUUAGUUCGAAGCAAUUAACAUAUAGGGGAAUCGCACAUUGGGGGUAUGAUGCACAUAUAUAGUUAAAUGUGUUUCUACAUGUUUUGCAAUGGUUGCGUGUCUCAUCCCGACUUUUGUUUAUCUCCCCGAUCUUUUCUCUUGCUCUCUUUUGCACUCUCUUAUUUUUCUCUCUUGUUUUCAUUCUCUUUUUCUUAUUUUUCUCUCUUUUUUUCUUUGCUUUUUCCUUUUGUUUUUCUCUUUUCGCCAUUUUCUCUUUUAUUUGAGUUAUUUAAAACCAUGACCUGAUCGAUGGGGAUUGCCUACGUAUCACGACGCCACAUGAAUCAAAUUAUCACGUGGUUCAAAGAUAAAUGCGAAAUAAACAAUUUUGGUUUUUUUCAAAUUUUCAUUAAACAAAAACUUCUAUUACAAAGACUCGAUCAUAUAUACUUAAAACUCGAAAAACUAAAACAGACUCUAGGAAUGAAAAUACAGACUCGAAAAGAGAAAGGAAAACAAUCAGAAGUACAUAAGUGCCUCCAAUCCUACCAUAGGGACACCAGUUGCUCUUGCCGCAGGCCUACGUGCCAUUUAAUCUUGGAGGCGAUAGAAGUCAUCCAUUAUCUAGCGAACAAAGAUCAUUACUGUGGCGAAGAACAUGGACAUGCUCAUGUCCUCACACUCAUUUCAUUUCACCACUAUGUAGUCGGCGAUUCUUCUAACCCUUUCCCUGAUGAUGCCCUUUUUCUUGCAACAACCGCCUUAUUUGCUGAGAUCUGGCCUCCAAAACCUGGGUAGCCGAAUGAUUAUGCUCUUGCAAAUGUUGUAGGUCUUCCUCUAGCUGUUCCAUCAAAGCGUAGCAAUGUUCUCUCUCGGCUUUGAAGCUCUUGGCUUGUUUAGUCAUUUCACCCUCAAGGGUAGUUAGCUUUUUCUUCAGGUUUGUGACUUCUCCAUCAUAUUUCCUUUUUAAUUGCCGAUUAAACUCUUCCCGUCCCUCUACGUUCUUCGCCAACUGUGCCCGGGCUCUUGCCAAACUGCCUUCAGAUUUUUCUAAAUCAUUCCCGUACUCACAUAUUUUCUUCAUAAGACAAUUAAUGAGUCUUUCAUCCGCUCGGCUUCUUUCCGGAUUCUCAUCAGCUAUCUUCAUCCUUUGGUUUUGGAGCCCGAAGGACUUCAUUUUAUUGGGCUAAAUUUUUCUUCUCCCCCUUAUCCGCAACGUUUUUGCACAUCACUAUCGAAAUUAAGGUCUCUGAUUUGCCCUUCCAACCUGCUUAUGGUGGCCCGGUAUUCAUUUUCUUUUGUCAUCCACUCCCACUGUUCUUGUGAUGCUUCAAUGAAGUAUUGGAGGUGGGGUCUUUUAGCUGGCCUUCCAAACUCAACUUUCCUUUUGUACCAAGCGAGGUAAUUGGGUGAGACUUCACCUUUGGAUAGAUCACGUACUCAGGUAUUUGCCGUCAAAUAUUAGCACUCACUCCAAAUCUGGCGAACCACUGCUUCAUGAAAUUGGCCAUCAGAACGGAUCUCGACCACGUGAAGGCUAAGGUCUUCGUCCUUGGGAACUAUUUGACAUCUUCCUAGCUAUCUCAAAACACGGUACGGGGAAUAAGGCUGGACACUUUUGAGACCCAUCGGGAGGAAGUGAGGACUGGUGGCUGGCAUGUAUAUGAUUUCAUCAAUAGGAAGUCAACCCAGUGUCCAUUCUAUCUGACUUGCAGUGAUGGAGUGGAGGCAAGAUACCCAUUCUGCGACCCCUUCUGGCAUUUUGAACCCAUCAACCCUUGUAUAAAAUGCCUUUAUGCAGUUUUCCCUAUCGACCCAUAGUUCAUGUACCAAGGACGAUGACAUAGAUGCUCAAUCAUCCAUAUUUGUAGCAACAAGUUGUACCCCUCGAAAACAUCUACUCUGUCUUUGCAGGGUGUGAGAGCUCAGAAUAUUUUAGACACUAUCAUGGGUGCGAGGGUGCUUUUGGCAUUGGUAAGCAAAGUGUUGACGACCCCGGCUAUCCAUACAUCGAUAUUCCCGUCCUUCCUGGGAAACACUAAAAGACCCAAAAAUACCACCAUGAAAGUGAAGCAUCUAUGCUCUUCCCAUUUUAGUCGAUUACCUUUGCUACAAAUUUUGCUUUACGGGUUCUCAAAUCCCCCUAUGUGUCUGUACCGCUGGUAUAUGAACUGUGGAGUGGAAAACCCAGCCGCCAAAUCUACAUAUUGGACCACCCUGCUUAUCUUUAGUACAUCUAGAAACUUGUGAGGGGUGACCUCCCUUGGGGCGACCAGAUAUUUAUGUCUUAGGGCUUCAGUACUCCCAACAUAACCGGCUAUCUCUUCCAAAGUGGGUGUGAGCUCGAAGUCCUAGAAAUGCAACACGUUAUGAGCUAGAUCCCAAAAUGUCACCAGUGCUUUUAUUAUGUCUCCUCUAGGCUUGAUCCUUAAUAACCCGGUGAGACCCCCCAAGUGAUGGUUGGCCACGCCUCGUCCUGAUUUACCCAAAUCUUCCCACCACAUGUGUAGUUCCAAAUGAAUCUUGGUCAUGACCUUCAUUGGCAAGUUUUGACUCGUGCUCAUUCUGCACAUUUAGAUUAAGGUGAUUGGUUCAAAACAAAGCGAAUUUAUAAAAAGGGUCAAUUUUGCAAAAAUUUAAAUAACACGGCUACUUUUGCAAAUACGGCCCUUCAGUAUUUUGAAAAGGAAUAUUUUAGGGCCGUGCUUGCUAGGUAGCCACAAUUUUUCAAAGAAACCUUUGGUGGCUAUUUUUGCAAAACCAGCCUUCCGGCGCCCUGUCAGAGCGUUUGGUUUAUUUAGACAAUAACAGUGUUAACCAAUUUAAUUUGAAAACAAAUGAAGACAUUUUCAAAUUUUUGGGUUAUUUUUGCAAAAGUGGGACUAGACCCGAUGAGGGUUGCCUAUGUAUCAUACGUUCGGUAAGAAUCGAACCCGCGUAGUUCGGUCAGUUUUGUUAUAAUAAAAAGACAUGAAUUGUUUUGAAACCAUUUUCCUUUCCUUUUUCCUCUCUCUCUCUCUUUUCAGAAUUUCGGCAGAGUUUCGGUAUAUUUUAGACAUCACGUUUUUCAAAGGCUGGUAAUUAUCGCUCUCAUACCUCAAUUUUAUUUUUCUCAAUUUCCUCCCUAUUCUAGCAACUGGUUAACACGCAAACCGAAGAAAAUAAUUGUACAAGUAGCACGUAAAAAAUGCAUCAAGAUGGUCUUUUGAUUUUGGGGUCCACCUGUCCUAGACGGACCCAUCCCCUGUGUUGAGUCCCCAAAGUCAAAUGCAUAUGAUGCAAACAAACGUUCCUACUAGGGAUCCGGCAUGAGGCUAAGUUAUUCUAGGCUUUAAAACCUGGGUAUAUUGUUCUAGACUUGGUGCACCCGAGCAGACAACAAGAGCCGAUGGGGGGUUACGUACCGAGAACCAAAAGGCCAUCCGGCUUUGUAACUUGUCCAAGCCUCUUUCUAAUUUAAGGUAUGACACUAAUAGAAAGAGGAGUCACGCCAGUUUGGACAUCCCCGAAGAUGAGAAGAGAAGGUUUUCGUAAUAGUUUAUAUACAAUUCAAAUAAUAUCAAAGCGGUAAAAAGCGGUAUUUAGCACAUUAGGCUCAAACAUGUACAAAUCAGAUAAUAAAUAAAGCCAAAUAUAACAAUUAUUCUAAGCUCGAAUUCUUGAACCCUGAAUCAGAAGUUCUGGGUUCUUGUCCCCAACAGACUCGCCAGAGCUGUCACACCUCCUUUUUACAUCCGAGGGUAUAUAGGAUUUUUUUCCAAUUAAAGUGACAUUAUUUGAAAUGGGAUUAUUUAAAUUAAUUUAUCAGAGUCGCCACUUGGAAUAGUUUAAUUAGUGUCCCAAGUCACCGCUUUAUUUUAAAAUCCCAAAUCGAGGAAAUUUCGACUUUAUUUUAAAAGUCUACGAACCAGAAAUUCUAGAUAAGAAAUUCUGUUAAUCCGGGAGAAAGUGUUAGGCAUUCUCGGGUUCCGUGGUUCUAGCAUGAUCGCUUAAACAAUUAAUAAUUGGCCUAUUAUCUGAUUUACUACGUGUUUUAAGCCUAUUGUGCAUUUUUAAAACUUUAUAACCGCUUUUAAUUAUUUAUUAUUACAUAUUGUGAAUCAUGUUACAGGAACCGUACCCAUGAUCUACAACAUGCUUAAAUUAAUGAAAAGUUAUUUAAAGUUGUGGCCGGGUCACAUAAAUAUACCCCUGAAUUUGAAAACUAGGUAUCACGGCUACGUCACGGGAACCAUAUCCGUAACUAUGAUGAUUUUAAUUAAACACGCCUAAAGCAAACUACGAGUGUUUAAAAAGGCUUUUUUAUACUAAGUUAAUAUUAAUGUGAGGGCCAUAGGUUAUGAGUUUUAUUUGGGUAUGGCACACCUCAAAUCAGUUUUUAAAGAAAAUAUUUGUAUUUUUUCUAUAAGGCAAAUUAAAGAUACUCCUACUUUAAUCUAAUUACGGCAUCACAACCACAUCACGGAACUGUACCCGUAGUUAUAAUAAUUUAAUUGCAUGCCUAAAGCAAACUACGGAUGUUUAACAGAUUGUUCACUCUUAAUAAUCAAGAUUAAAGGCGUAGGUUCCAAUAUUAUAGAAUUCAUUGCGGGGAAAGUAUAAUAUUUGCUUCUCAAAAUUGUUUAUAAGACAUAUUAUAUUAUCAAGAUGGAAAAUAUUUGCAACUUAAGCCAAACUAAUCACAUUAACUACCUUGCUUUGAUUUAAUUAAUUUUAAGAGGUUAAAUGAGAACACUAGUGUUCAAUGAUGUAAAGCAAAUACAUGCAUUCAUGGUUAUUCCACCUAAAAUAUUUAAAGCAUAACAUCAUCUGAAAUGAUCCAAAGGACAAUAGAAUACCUCAAACCCAUAAAAUGACUCAGCAUAUAUUUAUCCUAACAACUUAGGCUUGACAUGAAGCCUGAAUUAAUGAAGGUGGAAAUUUGUUAAAAAUAAAACAAAUUAGUGAACCCAAUUAUUACAAACCAAUAAUCAACAAACUUAGUAAAAAUUUUACACGAGACAAUCUUAUGUCAAUAGACCAGAUGAAGUAUAUUAGUUCCCAAAUAAGAACUCUUCAUUCUUUAUUCCUUUUCUGUUGUUCGGGCCCUGCUAUUUUUUCAAAUUUCAUUCAAAAACAAAGAUGCUUCUUUUCCACUCAACUAGCUUGAACAUUUUAAAAUCCAAACACCACUCGUAAUUAAAUGACAUGCAUAUUGCAGUAUGUUUUAAGUGUUAAGAUCAUCCCAAUACAGUAAGAAAUCUAACCAAACAAAUCAAAACCAUAUGAGUAAAAUAAACAAAACAACAUGAACAAUCUUGUAUAGAUCUAUGUUAAAUUCACACACUGGCAUUUUAAAUCACAUCUAACAUAGCAUGACAUUUGAACAUGAAAGUGAAUAAUUAUUGCAAAUUUCAUAACAUAAGAUUAUUCAAGCAAUAUUUACAUCAUUGGAAGUGUGAAACUCAUACCUUGACAGCAGUAAUAGCAAAAGAAACCAAGAAAAAAUAGAAGAAGAGCUUUCUGAAUCAUGAAAAAGAAACGAGCAGCAACAAGCAAUCAACAAUCGAGUGAGCUUGGGUCCCAAAACUGAAGGUUCGACCACAAUACAAACAAAACCAAAGCAAGAAGGAGUGACUAAUUAACUCGAAUAGCCAUGAAGAAAACCAAAAUUCUGUUCUUAAACCUCCGAAACUCCCAGCAAAGACCUCAAAAAAAUAGAAGGAAACUCAAAAAUUUCUUAAGAAUCCUUUUGAAAAAUUGGUUUUCAUCCAUUUGUGUUUUUUCUAUCCUUUUUUCUGU